UACGUAGGGUGCGAGCGUUAAUCGGAAUUACUGGGCGUAAAGCGUGCGCAGGCGGUCGAUCAAGUCGCGUGUGAAAGCCCCCGGCUCAACUGGGGAGGGUCACGCGAUACUGAUCGACUCGAAGGCAGGAGAGGGUAGUGGAAUUCCCGGUGUAGUGGUGAAAUGCGUAGAUAUCGGGAGGAACACCAGUGGCGAAGGCGACUACCUGGCCUGUUCUUGACGCUGAGGCGCGAAAGCUAGGGGAGCAAACGGG
This 253-nucleotide ribosomal RNA is filed under the name uncultured bacterium. Its description in RNAcentral is "partial 16S ribosomal RNA". It matches the Rfam family "Bacterial small subunit ribosomal RNA", at positions 524 to 776 of the family's 1533-position model. The record is from RNAcentral.